ACGCGUGGGAACGUACCUUUUGCUACGGAAUAACUCAGGGAACCUUGUGCUAAUACCGUAUGUGCCCUUCGGGGGAAAGAUUUAUCGGCAAAGGAUCGGCCCGCGUUGGAUUAGCUAGUUGGUGAGGUAAAGGCUCACCAAGGCGACGAUCCAUAGCUGGUCUGAGAGGAUGAUCAGCCACACUGGGACUGAGACACGGCCCAGACUCCUACGGGAGGCAGCAGUGGGGAAUAUUGGACAAUGGGCGCAAGCCUGAUCCAGCCAUGCCGCGUGAGUGAUGAAGGCCCUAGGGUUGUAAAGCUCUUUCACCGGUGAAGAUAAUGACGGUAACCGGAGAAGAAGCCCCGGCUAACUUCGUGCCAGCAGCCGCGGUAAUACGAAGGGGGCUAGCGUUGUUCGGAUUUACUGGGCGUAAAGCGCACGUAGGCGGACUUUUAAGUCAGGGGUGAAAUCCCGGGGCUCAACCCCGGAACUGCCUUUGAUACUGGAAGUCUUGAGUAUGGUAGAGGUGAGUGGAAUUCCGAGUGUAGAGGUGAAAUUCGUAGAUAUUCGGAGGAACACCAGUGGCGAAGGCGGCUCACUGGACCAUUACUGACGCUGAGGUGCGAAAGCGUGGGGAGCAACAGGAUUAGAUACCCUGGUAGUCCACGCCGUNAACGAUGAAUGUUAGCCGUUGGGGAG
Molecule: ribosomal RNA, 681 nt
Filed under: Brucella anthropi
Lineage: Bacteria; Pseudomonadati; Pseudomonadota; Alphaproteobacteria; Hyphomicrobiales; Brucellaceae
Description: bacterial SSU rRNA
Rfam family: Bacterial small subunit ribosomal RNA
Source: RNAcentral